AUUGAACGCUGGCGGCAUGCCUUACACAUGCAAGUCGAACGGCAGCACGGGAGCAAUCCUGGUGGCGAGUGGCGAACGGGUGAGUAAUAUAUCGGAACGUGCCCAGUCGUGGGGAUAACGUAGCGAAAGCUACGCUAAUACCGCAUACUAUCUAUGGAUGAAAGCGGGGGAUCGCAAGACCUCGCGCGAUUGGAGCGGCCGAUAUCAGAUUAGGUAGUUGGUGAGGUAAAGGCUCACCAAGCCGACGAUCUGUAGCUGGUCUGAGAGGACGACCAGCCACACUGGGACUGAGACACGGCCCAGACUCCUACGGGAGGCAGCAGUGGGGAAUU
RNAcentral lists this ribosomal RNA (332 nucleotides) under uncultured bacterium. RNAcentral describes it as "bacterial SSU rRNA". It matches the Rfam family "Bacterial small subunit ribosomal RNA", at positions 30 to 363 of the family's 1533-position model. The record is from RNAcentral.